Podarcis lilfordi (Lilford's wall lizard) is the source of this 711-nucleotide non-coding RNA. The record is from the annotation of a GenBank genome assembly. NCBI's taxonomy places the organism in Eukaryota, Metazoa, Chordata, Lepidosauria, Squamata, Lacertidae.
UCCCCGUGGCGUGCAUCCAGCCGGAUAAGUCCGGCUCGUCCUCCGUGCUCUCGCCGACCUCAAUUUCCUCUGCUUCCAUCUCUUUGCCGCCGUGCUCGAACCCAAGGUCCUCCCCCAACACGUCCAUGUCCGUCUCCCCCGGUCUCCUCCGGGGACGUUGCCUGCCAAGGACCCCCCAGCCACUUCCUGCGCCACUGCUCCUCUGGUUGAUUGUCCCACCAAUAGGAACGGUCUGAGGCAGACCCCGAAGGUGAUCCCUCCGGGGAACGUGUUUCUAGUGCCGGUUCCUCGUCCGAGGUGAACCCCUGGAAUGUGCUAGCUGAAAAUGUGGGUGUGAAAAGCCAGUCGUCGAAAUACUCGGCUGGCAUGGGCCUGUGUGGGAAAAGGGCAUGGAACUCGUCCUUAAGCCAAGAUUCCUCCAGAGCAUAAUCUGGCACCCAACUGUUGGCGCUAGCCGGGGUACCUUCCUUGGCGAGGAGGUAUUCCACUCCCUCCUCCCCCCAUCUCGAGUCUAAAAUCUCUGUGACUUCGUUGACGGGUUCCCGCCUUGGCGACCCCCCCCUUGUGGGCGUUUCCCUGAACGGGUCUGGUGCCGUUCCUGGCUCCUGAAAUCUAUGAGGUGCUUUGUAGGGCGUGAGCACUGAUCUAUGGAAAACUGGGUGCAUUCUGGAUCCCUCCGGCAGUGUCAACCGGAAGGCCACUGGAUUGACC